Molecule: ribosomal RNA, 255 nt
Filed under: uncultured bacterium
Lineage: Bacteria
Description: partial 16S ribosomal RNA
Rfam family: Bacterial small subunit ribosomal RNA
Source: RNAcentral
GACAGAGGCCUCAAGCGUUAGGCGGAAUCACUGGGCUUAAAGCGUGUGUAGGCGGAUCGUUAAGUGUCUUGUGAAAUCCCACGGCUCACCCGUGGAACUGCUGGGCAUACUGGCGAUCUUGGGCCAACUAGGGGCAACUGGAACAAGCGGUGGAGCGGUGAAAUGCGUAGAUAUCGCUUGGAACGCCAAGGUGAAAACAGGUGCUGGGGUUGUGCCGACGCUGGAGACACGAAAAGCCAGGGGGAGCAAAACGGG